This is a small nucleolar RNA of Rhododendron vialii, 108 nucleotides long. RefSeq annotates it as small nucleolar RNA snoR100. The transcript has a single exon. The record is from RefSeq and is a predicted model, not a curated record. NCBI's taxonomy places the organism in Eukaryota, Viridiplantae, Streptophyta, Magnoliopsida, Ericales, Ericaceae.
GAAUGAAUGAAGCAUGGUAAUAUGCACACAAAUUGAUUUUGGUCCCUAGGCCUGCCCUAGCUAAUGCCUUUUGGCUUUGAUUUGGGAGAACGGUUCCGCAGCAAGACG